RNAcentral lists this transfer RNA (73 nucleotides) under Acidobacteriota bacterium. RNAcentral's name for it is "Acidobacteria bacterium (drinking water metagenome) tRNA-Arg". It matches the Rfam family "tRNA". From Rfam's summary of the family: Transfer RNA (tRNA) molecules are approximately 80 nucleotides in length. Their secondary structure includes four short double-helical elements and three loops (D, anti-codon, and T loops). Lineage: Bacteria; Pseudomonadati; Acidobacteriota. The record is from RNAcentral.
GCCCCCGUAGCUCAGUGGAUAGAGCAUUUGCCUUCUAAGCAAAGGGCCGCACGUUCGAGCCGUGCCGGGGGCA